Molecule: ribosomal RNA, 245 nt
Filed under: uncultured Pseudomonas sp.
Lineage: Bacteria; Pseudomonadati; Pseudomonadota; Gammaproteobacteria; Pseudomonadales; Pseudomonadaceae
Description: partial 16S ribosomal RNA
Rfam family: Bacterial small subunit ribosomal RNA
Source: RNAcentral
UACAGAGGGUGCAAGCGUUAAUCGGAAUUACUGGGCGUAAAGCGCGCGUAGGUGGCUAAGUAAGAUGGGUGUGAAAUCCCCGGGCUUAACCUGGGAACUGCAUCCAUAACUGCUUGGCUAGAGUACGGUAGAGGGUAGUGGAAUUUCCUGUGUAGCGGUGAAAUGCGUAGAUAUAGGAAGGAACACCAGUGGCGAAGGCGACUACCUGGACUGAUACUGACACUGAGGUGCGAAAGCGUGGGGAG